AAUCCAUCCCGAGCGGCCGAGAGACCUGGCUCAGCGACGCCGCAGCAACCACCCGGAGACGGGCAGGUGCUAACGCCAGGACCGAUGGAGU
RNAcentral lists this non-coding RNA (91 nucleotides) under Allokutzneria albata. RNAcentral's name for it is "SAM-I sequence". It matches the Rfam family "SAM riboswitch aptamer (S box leader)". Rfam says of the family: The SAM riboswitch is found upstream of a number of genes which code for proteins involved in methionine or cysteine biosynthesis in Gram-positive bacteria. The SAM riboswitch acts at the level of transcription termination control. The predicted structure consists of a complex stem-loop region followed by a single stem loop terminator region. Lineage: Bacteria; Bacillati; Actinomycetota; Actinomycetes; Pseudonocardiales; Pseudonocardiaceae. The record is from Rfam by way of RNAcentral.